RNAcentral lists this ribosomal RNA (482 nucleotides) under uncultured bacterium. RNAcentral describes it as "partial 16S ribosomal RNA". It matches the Rfam family "Bacterial small subunit ribosomal RNA", at positions 30 to 507 of the family's 1533-position model. The record is from RNAcentral.
AUUGAACGCUGGCGGCAUGCCUUACACAUGCAAGUCGAACGGUAACAGGUCUUCGGAUGCUGACGAGUGGCGAACGGGUGAGUAAUACAUCGGAACGUGCCCGAUCGUGGGGGAUAACGAGGCGAAAGCUUUGCUAAUACCGCAUACGAUCUACGGAUGAAAGCGGGGGAUCUUCGGACCUCGCGCGGACGGAGCGGCCGAUGGCAGAUUAGGUAGUUGGUGGGAUAAAAGCUUACCAAGCCGACGAUCUGUAGCUGGUCUGAGAGGAUGAUCAGCCACACUGGGACUGAGACACGGCCCAGACUCCUACGGGAGGCAGCAGUGGGGAAUUUUGGACAAUGGGCGAAAGCCUGAUCCAGCCAUGCCGCGUGCAGGAUGAAGGCCUUCGGGUUGUAAACUGCUUUUGUACGGAACGAAAAGCCUCUUUCUAAUAAAGAGGGGUCAUGACGGUACCGUAGGAAUAAGCACCGGCUAACUACGUG